Molecule: long non-coding RNA, 2858 nt
Organism: Esox lucius (northern pike)
Lineage: Eukaryota; Metazoa; Chordata; Actinopteri; Esociformes; Esocidae
Source: Ensembl
AAAGUAAUCCCCCAAGCCCUGCUUUCGAUGGUCCGCCGAUAUGAGCAGGAGUAUGCUCCACAGUGCUCUGGCAUCGUUGCUUCUGCUGCUACGCAAAUAGGUGGAUGACCGGUCAAAGAUGGCGGCCGUAUUUCUCGCGCCCCAGCAGCCAAUGCGGCGUCUACACUUUAUUAUGUCUAUGGUUGCCUCGGUCUAAAGGACCGCGGCCAGCCGGCGGCAAGAUGCUUUUAAAUACAAGGCUACUCUCAAAAUCGACCGUCCAUGUUGGUUUGGACACACAUUCGCAUCAGUUCGUCGCUCAAUCGCGAGUUACAGCCUGCAGUUUGCUAGCUAGCAAAGUCAUCGACUACCAACGUUUAAAUACCUUGGCCAGAGCAUAACCGGUUAUCUUCACCCAAGAGACCUACUGUUGGUCAGUCGUUUUGGUUUUAAAGGUAAGUGCAUUGUUAGUCACAAUGUCUAGUUACUGGGCCAAAUGGAAAAUAAUAUUGAAAAGAUUUGAGAGGGACAAACAGGACAUUCACUUGAAUCACUACAUGCUACAGAAGUUGCAUCGAUUCCAGAAAACCAGGAAAAUGUUGAGCCAUCUGUAGACUUCAGAGCUGGUAUGUAAAAUGUAUUGCUGUGAUGCUUAAUUUGUGAUCCUGUAACUAAACUAUACACUUUGUUAGAUUUUCAAAUUUCUGUUCCCUAGCUCUUUCUCAGAACCAGGUUUCUCCCCAGUAAUCCAGACUCCAUUUCACAGAGCCAAGAGUUUGAGUACAAGUAAGUGAUGUUAUUUGUGACAUUUUUUGUCUUGGAAACUAUUGCUUCUAUUUAAGAUUAGGAAUCCUUUUAUCCAUAAUCUGUUUUUCAUUAGGGCACUUGACUUUCUGGAUAAAAGGUGUCGGUGUGUUGUACAUAUCAUUAGCUUUGCACAGUUCAAUUAUUGUUUCAUUACUGAAUAUGCAAUCUCUGCAGUGAAAUUAAAGCUGUUAUGUUUGUUCCCCCAGCUCGUCAAGUACUAAGCUUUACACCCCCAGCAGCAAAUUUACCCUGGCAGCAUAUGGGUGAAAACGCUGGAGGUAUGUAAUACGUUGCGCUAAACUAUGUUUUACAUUUAAGUCCAUCCAUCUUCUUCCGCUUAUCCGGGGCCGGGUCGCGGGGGCAGCAGUCUAAGCAGGGAUGCCCAGACUUCCCUCUCCCCAGACACUUCCUCUAUCUCUUCCGGGGGACACAGAGGCGUUCCCAGGCCAGCCGGGAGACAUAGUCCCUCCAGCGUGUCCUAGGCCUUCCCCGGGGUCUCCUCUCGGUGGGACGGGACCGGAACACCUUCCCAGGAAGGCGUUCCGGAGGCAUCCGAAACAGAUGCCCAAGCCACCUCAGCUGACCCCUCUCGAUGUGGAGGAGUCCAAUUCAUUAAAUAUUUCCAGUGACUCCAGAAUGAAAACCAAGCUCUGAGGGAGGAGAACCAAGCCCUGAGGGAAUGCAAUGCACAAGCGGCUUCGGAUGACAGCCGCUCACUUCAAGAGCAGGUGAAGCAAGUAGGGACAAUGUUGAAGACGUUUGCUCUCACUGGGCAAUCAGGUGCGUUACCUGAAAGGAGCAUCUGACCGUGAAGGCAGAAAAAGCCGCACAGCUGAGAAGGACCCACAGCCGACCCCUUCAACCUAGGCUGACUACUGACACCCCAGCAUCACUGAACUGGAACACUUUCUUUAUCCUGCAGUGCAGUCACUCACCCUGUUUUUUUUUUUGUAUUUUAACUUUAGUAUUGGCUUAUUUCAUUCCGUCUUAACGAUUCUAUUAUAGUUUGUAAAUCCUAUUUCAUACCUGUUACUUGAUAUUGCACAUUAACUAGUACCAAAAUUCUAAUUUCAUUUCAUCAGUGUGCUUAACUGUUAUUCUAUUAAUAAUAGCUUGGAAAUACUAUUUCGUACCUCUGAUACUUGAUAUUGCACAUUACCUGGUACCAAAUAUUCUACUUACUGUUUUUAACAUCAGCAUUUUUCAUUCCAUCACUGUGCUUAACUGUUAUUCUAUUGUUAAAUACAGCUUGUAAAUCCUUGUGACACAGAUCUUAUUGCAGCACGGUGUAAAUCUUGUGCUCCAGGUCAGCAAUGUGUAGAUGUAUUGAUUGUAUAAGUUAGUGAACUGUUGUAAGCUGUUGUAACCAAUGAAACAAAAUAUUAAAUGUUUGUAGUAUGAGCUGAAACUGAAGGUGCAAGUAGGAGAAUAGGAAACCCUGUUCAAGCGGUUGCCGGGGAGAGAAAGAUUUAGUAUGUCUGUCUUUGGAGAAACAGGACACGGUUAGAGACACACACAUAGCCUGACAGACAAGACAGAAACCAGAUGGGGGGGCAAGAAGAUGUUUGCAUUUACCCUUAUAAGGAAUAGAACUGGAACUGGACCAAUAGCAUACUUGCUUUGUGAAUUUAACGACUCUAUCUUUUGGGCGUAGUAGAAGUAUAAAAUGAUCUGUUGAAUGUUGAUCCUUAGACAUUGUGCGGCGACACUUGUCUCCAAAAGCUUUUGUAAUAAACGGAAUAUGCGGUAUGGUAAUUGACCUGACUCCUGGUGUUUUAUUCUCCUUUCCAACAAACCAACUCGGGGAAGUGUUUUGAGAGAGAAGUUGAUGACGAUGGGUGGGGUCCAGGCACGGGAAAGUGGAAACAAUUGGGGAUACAGGUGGCAAAUGUAUCUCCACCACCUGAUGAGGACCCGUCCACCUUGGCUCCGGCCACUUUCGCUUGAUGACCUUCAGCAACACCCACUCCGCCUGGGGCAGGUUCUGGUCCAGCGGGUGCAGGUCCCUCCUAUCUCCGACUCUGUUGGGUGAACCCAGUGGUCUGAUUUAACGAGCAUCGAAUCUUCAUGAG